UACGAAGGGGGCUAGCGUUGUUCGGAAUCACUGGGCGUAAAGGGCGCGUAGGCGGCCGAUCAAGUCGGGGGGUGAAAGCCUGUGGCUCACCACAGAAUUGCCUUCGAUACUGUUUGGCUUGAGACCGGAAGAGGUAAGUGGAACUGCGAGUGUAGAGGUGAAAUUCGUAGAUAUUCGCAAGAACACCAGUGGCGAAGGCGGCUUACUGGUCCGGUUCUGACGCUGAGGUGCGAAAGCGUGGGGGAGCAAACAGGAUUAGA
This 260-nucleotide ribosomal RNA is filed under the name uncultured bacterium. RNAcentral describes it as "partial 16S ribosomal RNA". It matches the Rfam family "Bacterial small subunit ribosomal RNA", at positions 524 to 782 of the family's 1533-position model. The record is from RNAcentral.